This 425-nucleotide ribosomal RNA is filed under the name uncultured bacterium. RNAcentral describes it as "bacterial SSU rRNA". It matches the Rfam family "Bacterial small subunit ribosomal RNA", at positions 97 to 512 of the family's 1533-position model. The record is from RNAcentral.
GGCACACGGGUGCGCAACACGUACAGAACCUUCCUUUAAGCGGGGGAUAGCCCGAAGAAAUUCGGAUUAAUACCCCAUAGUAUUUCGGUGUGGCAUCACAUUGUAAUUAAAGAUUUAUCACUUAAAGAUGGCUGUGCGUCUGAUUAGGUAGUUGGUAGUAGGUAAAGGCUCACCAAGCCAACGAUCAGUAACUAGGUGUAGAGAGCACGACCAGUCACACGGGCACUGAGACACGGGCCCGACUCCUACGGGAGGCAGCAGUAGGGCAUAUUGGGCAAUGGCGGAAACGCUGACCCAGCCAUGCCGCGUGCAGGAACGAAGGCGCUCAGCGUUGUCACAACUGCUUUUGUCCGGGAAGAAUGACCGUACGCGUAGCGGGAGUGACGGUACCGGGUGAAUAAGCACCGGGCUAACUCCGUGCCAGC